UUUACAGCAGAAUGAGGGUCCGAACCUCCAUAUGCAACAAUGUCAACCUCUAGAUGAGCCUGACGAGCAAGGGAAAGAGCAUGAUAUUGCAUACGAGGGCUACGUCCAAUAUCACCGAGAACGACUACCGCUGCUCUACCGCUGGGUCGGAUCCUCGGUUCAUUUUGUCCUGACAUGAUUUCUAAACAAAAUUCUUACUUCCGGAACAGAAAUUGAGAUUAAAAAUCCAUUCCAGUUAGAGUGAAAGUACUCAGUUAAAUACAGGGGAAAUCGACG
This 276-nucleotide unclassified non-coding RNA is filed under the name Hevea brasiliensis (rubber tree). The record is from RNAcentral. Lineage: Eukaryota; Viridiplantae; Streptophyta; Magnoliopsida; Malpighiales; Euphorbiaceae.